This 457-nucleotide ribosomal RNA is filed under the name Microcystis aeruginosa. RNAcentral's name for it is "bacterial SSU rRNA". It matches the Rfam family "Bacterial small subunit ribosomal RNA", at positions 129 to 619 of the family's 1533-position model. Lineage: Bacteria; Bacillati; Cyanobacteriota; Cyanophyceae; Chroococcales; Microcystaceae. The record is from RNAcentral.
ACUUCAGGACGGGGACAACAGUUGGAAACGACUGCUAAUACCCGAUGUGCCACGAGGUGAAACCUAAUUGGCCUGAAGAAGAGCUUGCGUCUGAUUAGCUAGUUGGUGGGGUAAGAGCCUACCAAGGCGACGAUCAGUAGCUGGUCUGAGAGGAUGAGCAGCCACACUGGGACUGAGACACGGCCCAGACUCCUACGGGAGGCAGCAGUGGGGAAUUUUCCGCAAUGGGCGAAAGCCUGACGGAGCAACGCCGCGUGAGGGAGGAAGGUCUUUGGAUUGUAAACCUCUUUUCUCAAGGAAGAAGUUCUGACGGUACUUGAGGAAUCAGCCUCGGCUAACUCCGUGCCAGCAGCCGCGGUAAUACGGGGGAGGCAAGCGUUAUCCGGAAUUAUUGGGCGUAAAGCGUCCGCCGGUGGUCAGCCAAGUCUGCUGUCAAAUCAGGUUGCUUAACGACCUA